AUUGAACGCUGGCGGAAUGCUUUACACAUGCAAGUCGAACAGCAGCACGGACUUCGGUCUGGUGGCGAGUGGCGAACGGGUGAGUAAUGUAUCGGAACGUGCCCAGUCGUGGGGGAUAACGUAGUGUAAAUUACGCUAAUACCGCAUACGAUCUAUGGAUGAAAGCGGGGGAUCGCAAGACCUCGCGCGAUUGGAGCGGCCGAUAUCAGAUUAGGUAGUUGGUGGGGUAAAGGCCCACCAAGCCAACGAUCUGUAGCUGGUCUGAGAGGACGACCAGCCACACUGGAACUGAGACACGGUCCAGACUCCUACGGGAGGCAGCAGUGGGGAAUUUUGGACAAUGGGCGAAAGCCUGAUCCAGCCAUUCCGCGUGCAGGAUGAAGGCCCUCGGGUUGUAAACUGCUUUUGUACAGAACGAAAAGGUUUCUACUAAUACUAGGAGCUCAUGACGGUACUGUAAGAAUAAGCACCGGCUAACUACGUGCCAGCCGCCGCAGUAA
Molecule: ribosomal RNA, 500 nt
Filed under: uncultured bacterium
Lineage: Bacteria
Description: partial 16S ribosomal RNA
Rfam family: Bacterial small subunit ribosomal RNA
Source: RNAcentral